Molecule: small RNA, 273 nt
Filed under: Pongo abelii (Sumatran orangutan)
Lineage: Eukaryota; Metazoa; Chordata; Mammalia; Primates; Hominidae
Description: retained intron
Source: RNAcentral
CACCGCACCUGGCCUGUUCCUCCAUUCUUUGUGCAUUACUUGCUGUGAUCACACUCAUCUAGGUGGUGGACAUAAUGCGAGUUAACGUGGACAAGGUUCUGGAAAGAGACCAGAAGCUCUCUGAGUUAGACGACCGUGCAGACGCACUGCAGGCAGGCGCUUCUCAAUUUGAAACGAGUGCAGCCAAGUUGAAGAGGAAAUAUUGGUGGAAGAAUUGCAAGAUGUGGGCAAUCGGGAUUACUGUUCUGGUUAUCUUCAUCAUCAUCAUCAUCG